GAUCCUGGCUCAGGAUGAACGCUAGCUACAGGCUUAACACAUGCAAGUCGAGGGGGCAGCAUGGUCUUAGCUUGCUAAGGCCGAUGGCGACCGGCGCACGGGUGAGUAACGCGUAUCCAACCUGCCUUACACUCUUGGACAGCCUUCUGAAAAGGGAGAUUAAUACAAGACGUUAUCAUGAGUAAGCAUUUUCGCAUGAUUAAAGGUUUACCGGUGUAAGAUGGGGAUGCGUUCCAUUAG
Molecule: ribosomal RNA, 240 nt
Filed under: uncultured bacterium
Lineage: Bacteria
Description: partial 16S ribosomal RNA
Rfam family: Bacterial small subunit ribosomal RNA
Source: RNAcentral